Molecule: small nucleolar RNA, 212 nt
Organism: Manis javanica (Malayan pangolin)
Lineage: Eukaryota; Metazoa; Chordata; Mammalia; Pholidota; Manidae
Product: small nucleolar RNA U3
Source: RefSeq, a predicted model, not a curated record
AAGAUUAGACUUGCAGGGAUUAUUUCUACAGUUUGUUACUAGAGAAGUUUCUCUGAACAUGUAGAGCACCCGACACUUCAAGGAGGAGGUGCAACGUUCUCUUCUGAGCGUGAAGCCAGCUCUUGGUAUUGUUUUUACAACUGCCAUUUGCCAUUGAUGAUUGCCUUCUCUUCCUUUGGGAGAAUGAGAGGGGAGAACAGCAUCUGAGUGGU